CGAGUUUUUUGACAGAAUUUUACCUCCGACCGGACUUUCCUCUACGUCCUUAUACCGGACCUAAUAAAAGUUCUGCUUAAGUUGCUUAGAAGUGUCCAUGCCAUAUUGGGAGAGCGUGUACAAGAUAUAUCCGCCUUAUCGUAAGCGCCGCAGUGCGUUCACUUCACUUCACUAGAGAGACGUCUAUACACGAUUUUCGGUGCCCGUGAACGCCAUACUCUUAAGUUUUAGAAAUUAGAGCGGAUUGGCGACGACAAUGUCACGACGAUGAUGGAGCCUAGAGUGCAAAGAAUGAGACAGGGAGAGACUGACGUACGCGGCUAUGCUCGAUCAAACGGGCCAUGAACUGGGGCUGUGAAGGAUUCUUGCUGGCUAUGUGUGGCUUAAGAAGUAAAGAGGAUCGAUGGCUUGAGAUGUCAAGCACGAUAGGUUGAAGAAGCCUGACAUAGUGGAGAUUGUAGGAAGGGAGGUGGCUCGCUGGCUAGAGAUGUGAAGAAGGAUGGGAGGAAACAAGAAAGAGUUUGGGAAGGAGAACAAAACCGAAGACUUCACUUGUCUCUUGCUUUAUCAACGCGAGCGGGAUUUUUCAGGCCAGCGUGAAGAGAUCGUUCGGGGCCAUUUUGCAUAGCAACGACAUUUGAGCAGGAUUUUUCGCAGAAAAUCGGGAUGGGCAGCCAUCUGUACAGGGAUUUAGGCGGGCAUGAGCGGGUUGCGGCAAAGGUAGCUAAAUCUGCCAUGCAUUGGUUCCCAUCUGGCUAAAUUCGCCUGUGGUUUCAAACAUAAUUCAUAAUCAUAAAUUUGAAAGAAUUUUGCACAGAGGUUUCGUUGCCAUCUACCUUCUCACCAUCCCUGAAGUACUCGGCUACACUUUCUGUGAUUUUAAGUUGUGAAGCUCCUCUCCAGCCCAAACUGGACGAACCAAAAUGCAGACCAGGAGACAGAUUGAAAUUCCAAUAAACACAGUCAUCAACCGUUGCUGCGCCAAUUCAAGCAGUCUAUCAACACGAUAGCCAGAGAUGGCAACCAAGUUGAAGGUCAGGAUAAAGAUCAGUAUGCCGUAAUCGAACCGAGCUCUUACGAUCGGAAUAAAACGAACAAAGGUUGCUGCUGAAGCUGUAAAACAAGUGGAUCCCAACUGCAAUCAUUCCUGCGCUAAGAGUCGCCAUUACUCUGUUCAAGCCUUUGUAUAUUGUGCCUCCUGCAUAAAAAAAUGAGAAGAGUGAGAUUCUUAGAAUGCCAGCGACAGAGAUGUAUAAGCAUUCAAAAACAUACCAACUGUGAAUUCAAAGAUGACAACAAUGGUCAUGAUUGCCCACAUAGCAGUUCCACCCACGCCUUGGUACAAUGGCCUAGUAUAAUAGAAGAUGGACACCAGAGUGAGUGCGAGUCCCACUUUGAUACAGUGGAUGAAUUUUCGAGGAUCAUCUACGCCCAAUUUCCAUGCAUUCUUCAUGAAUCUUGAUGAUGAUCUCAUAUUCAAGCUUAGCAAAUCAAUCAAUUGACGCCACAGUGCAAUACGGGGCUCCAAGUUGUGCUCUUCCUGUGCUGAUGGCUUGUGAGUUACUGUGACUCUCCAUUCCAGUUCUCUUGUUUCUUCUUUCUUGGUAAUCAUUUUUGCUUUCUAAAACUUUGAUGAAGGGCUUCUAUUCUGGAGGAGCUUGUCUUAGUUGUUCUACUCUGCACUCUAGUAUGGAUGGAGUCAAAUGUUAUGUUCAACGGUUGGCUUUUUAUAUAGGUAUAAAGUUAGGAUUGCUAGUAAUUUACAAUUAAGUCGGUAGUAGUGGCCAUGGCCGAACUUCUUUGUAAGGUUUUUAGAAUGAUGAUCUGCGUAGGGAACCAAAAUGGGAAGGUGCUGAACCUUUGACUUUUGAUAAGUGACCUUUCAUGGAUAA
Dendrobium catenatum is the source of this 1892-nucleotide long non-coding RNA. RefSeq lists it as uncharacterized. Lineage: Eukaryota; Viridiplantae; Streptophyta; Magnoliopsida; Asparagales; Orchidaceae. The record is from RefSeq and is a predicted model, not a curated record. The transcript has 5 exons.